GACAGAGGGUGCAAACGUUGUUCGGAAUUACUGGGCGUAAAGCGUGUGUAGGCGGUCCGCUAAGUCGGGUGUGAAAUCCCUGGGCUCAACCCAGGAAGUGCACUCGAAACUGGCGGGCUAGAGUAUCGGAGAGGUUGGUGGAAUUCUCGGUGUAGAGGUGAAAUUCGUAGAUAUCGAGAGGAACACCGGUGGCGAAGGCGGGUCUCUGGGCAGUAACUGACGCUGAGGAGCGAAAGCGUGGGGAGCGAACAGG
This 253-nucleotide ribosomal RNA is filed under the name uncultured bacterium. RNAcentral's name for it is "partial 16S ribosomal RNA". It matches the Rfam family "Bacterial small subunit ribosomal RNA", at positions 524 to 776 of the family's 1533-position model. The record is from RNAcentral.